UCCCUUCAUUGCUCGUAGCUUGCUUAUGAUUAGAUCAAAAGUUUACUCUCGCAGCUUAUAACCGCAGUUAGAGCUGUAGUUCGACUUAUCUUCCCUUUGUCCGUCGCGUUGCAUUCUGCAGCGGCGUAUGAAUUGGAGUGUAUAGCUGAUGCUGGAUGCAACAGUGGUGUAUAUCUGUGAGGUGAAAUGAAACGGAACAAAAUGAAACGAAACGAAAUGAAAUGAAAUGAAAUGAAAUGAAGUGAAGUGAUGUGAAGUGAUGUGAAUAGGGUUCGUUCACACUCAAUCUAGUUUAGUUGAACGCUGCAGCAGAAUAGGAAGGAGGCUGGCCUGCAUCCAGGUCCCGGAGCAUUAAUAGAAUCUCGAACUCUUUCAUUUUUCAUUACAUCCACCUCCGACGCACUUCUGUGCCUCUUCAAAACCAAAAUCCGCCAUCAUCAAAACGCUUCGAACGAUCGAAUUCUCGUAUUUAAAUAAACCACGUCAAUUUUUUCAUCGGUAAAAUAUGCCCAGUCCGUAUCCAACCUACUCUGCACGUCGUUCGUGGUCGAUCGACGUGAACGGAAGAACCUACAGUAGGUACGUACGUGCAACGCAACGUAUGACGAAAACGAUGAGAUAUGCGUCAUCGUACCGUUACAAAAAUAUAAUUAUUACAUCUAUAGCAUAUGUAUAUAUUAUAAGAAUUACGUAAGGAUAUUAAAAUUAUCAAAUAUGUUCAAAACACGAAGAUUGAAAAUAAAUUAUUCAAACAA
This is a long non-coding RNA of Athalia rosae (coleseed sawfly), 755 nucleotides long. RefSeq lists it as uncharacterized. The transcript has 2 exons. The record is from RefSeq and is a predicted model, not a curated record. Lineage: Eukaryota; Metazoa; Arthropoda; Insecta; Hymenoptera; Athaliidae.